Molecule: ribosomal RNA, 496 nt
Filed under: uncultured bacterium
Lineage: Bacteria
Description: bacterial SSU rRNA
Rfam family: Bacterial small subunit ribosomal RNA
Source: RNAcentral
GAUGAACGCUAGCUACAGGCUUAACACAUGCAAGUCGAGGGGAAACGAUAUUGGAAGCUUGCUUCUGAUAGGCGUCGACCGGCGCACGGGUGAGUAACGCGUAUCCAACCUGCCCAUCACUUGGGGAUAACCUUGUGAAAGUAAGACUAAUACCCAAUGACGUCUCUAGAAGACAUCUGAAAGAGAUUAAAGAUUUAUCGGUGUACGAUGGGGAUGCGUUCCAUUAGGUAGUAGGCGGGGUAACGGCCCACCUAGCCAACGAUGGAUAGGGGUUCUGAGAGGAAGGUCCCCCACAUUGGAACUGAGACACGGUCCAAACUCCUACGGGAGGCAGCAGUGAGGAAUAUUGGUCAAUGGACGCAAGUCUGAACCAGCCAUGCCGCGUGCAGGAUGACGGCUCUAUGAGUUGUAAACUGCUUUUGUACGAGGGUAAACGCAGAUACGUGUAUCUGCCUGAAAGUAUCGUACGAAUAAGGAUCGGCUAACUCCGUGCCAG